CCUGGUGAAAUUAGCGCUGUGGAACCACCCGAUCCCAUCCCGAACUCGGAAGUGAAACGCAGCUGCGCCGAUGGUAGUGUGGCUCAAGCCAUGCGAGAGUAGGUC
This 105-nucleotide ribosomal RNA is filed under the name Salmonella enterica subsp. enterica serovar Litchfield. The record is from RNAcentral. Lineage: Bacteria; Pseudomonadati; Pseudomonadota; Gammaproteobacteria; Enterobacterales; Enterobacteriaceae.